Oncorhynchus keta (chum salmon) is the source of this 2315-nucleotide long non-coding RNA. RefSeq lists it as uncharacterized. The record is from RefSeq and is a predicted model, not a curated record. Lineage: Eukaryota; Metazoa; Chordata; Actinopteri; Salmoniformes; Salmonidae. The transcript is spliced from 9 exons.
UACGAUAUGCGCUGUCACUUGUCAACGCAACCUUUUCUAUAGUGGAUGUUCUUUACUGCGAAACGAAUGUAAGUUAGAAUAUAUGUCCUGCUCACUAUUGAAAUUAAGUUGAUAACGAACGUUUAGAAGCAAAACAGUCUAGCGUAGCCGAACACACACUCCUCUAAAACGUGACUUUUCUGUGGGCGACUGUUGCAACAAACAAAUAUUGAUUUCAAGCCCCGGAAUAUAGGCACAUUUCCCGGAUAUCAAAGCUGAUUGAUGAAUGUUUUUUUAAUCACUUGUUGCGCAUGGAAUCUAACAAUAACACUUUGCCCAGGUGAGGUUGGAUCUGGCCUGCUACUUUGGACACAAAGAUGUUGUGGAGGAGCUACUCACGGAAGUAGUUAUUUUUCUGUUACGAUACCUGUGCCACUAUCAUCUACGGGACAGCCCAGGUCCCUAAAUCUGUCUACGAGGAUAAUGAGACCAUCGCCAUGCACGAGGCUGCAGAGAUCAGAAAGGAGAAGAGGAAGGAAGCGAAGCUUCUGGGGGUGGACAGAGAGGGAGACAUCUUCAGCCUGUCUCAGCUGGUCAGCAUCUGAUCAUCCCUGGCCCUCCACUGAACCUCUCAACCUCAAGCUCUGCAAGAUGAGGCCUCCAGACAUCCACUGUAGAGACCUGCCUACAGGGGGCAGAAGCAGUGUGUGAGAAAGAUGCUCUGGAGCCAGCCCCAGCAUCAAGAAUGAGCAACCAAACUGUUUUUGACCUGGCCUGCAGUGAGGAGAUUAAGCAGAUUCUGGUGGGCAGUCAUGACAAGAGUUCCAGUUUUCUGGGAUGGCAUUCUUAUUGGGUGGUCAUUCAAACGGAGUUAUAUUCUGGUAUCCAAGACAGUUAAAGCAUGGGACUAGUGCCUCUUCCUUUGGUCUCCAUCACUUUAAGGUGUCAUCCAAGAUGGAUCCAGAGGCAAAGAAAAAGAUGCUUGGAUGCCCUGGAGGAGCAUGUGGCCAACAGCAGCUGUCACUACCCAGGAGCAGACAGAUGAGGAGGGGGAUGAAGAUAGAUCUUGGUGACCUCACAGACUCCUCCCAGGUCAGAUGAAGUCAACACCAGCGGAUCCCAAAUAUUUCCGUUCUGGAGACCACCAAAUCACUAUCAAAAGCUCUUGAUCUAAAAUAAAUAAACACUAAAACAUUUUGCAGACCAUCUGCACAGCGGACCACAGGUUGAAACCACUAGUCUACACGCACACACCCAGACCGGAACUCAAACCAACACAGAUUCCAACUUUUUCAGGGCUAGCCAAUCACAGAGUUCCAUUGUUACCUUAUUUUUAAUAUUCUACUCCAGAAAAGGGACAGUUGGUUUCAGUUAGCCCUGCUUGUGUGAACAAAAACUAUGCUAGCCCAGGCCCAUUCAGUCGUAUUGAUGCUUACACAAUUGUUUACAAGUGGGCUGUGUUCUUAUUGGCUCAUGCAUUCAUGGUGAAUGGGUGAUUGAAGCCCCUCCCCCUGCUGUGACUGGCCAGUAGCUGUGUGACAAGGGAGGGUUAGUAAACUGAGGGGCUGAUGGCUGUGUAUGUGUAGAAGGGAGGGUUUGUUUGUGUGUGUGUGCGCACCUGUCCUCGCGGCCGUGCCCUUGGGACAUCAGUAGAACAGAGUGGUAAUCACUAGCAAGCCUGUAGCAAGGACACAGCCGAGCAAGAUCCGCUUUUAUGCUGAGCUCUGCACUCUGCUUGCAGAUCAGUGCAGGCACACACACUCACACACGCUCUUGCUUAAGGGAAACGCUAGGCAUUUGGAGACGGAACUGUUGCACGUGCAUAUUAACACUGAAGCAGAAACGCAUGCUUUCACACUCGCACGCACGUACGUACGUACGUUCACAGAGGCAGGCACAAUUCUACCACCCAGCAGAGCAUCCCGAGGACAGGAGGAGGAAAAGUGACAGCAGCACCCUCUAUCCACUCAGGUACAGACAAACAUCCUCCCUUUGUUUUUCAUUGUCUUCUGAACUACUAUGGGUCUAUUUGCAUUAGGCUGCUCUUUAUAAACUGUGCUUGUUUCAUUCUGAGGCUAAGUACUUGAAGGUUGUUCAAGUGAGUGUUUCUUAAAUGUAUUUAUUUGACCUUUUAUUUAAACAGGGAUUCACCAUUUAGACCAGGGUAGGGUCUCUUUUGCAAUGUACGUAGAUCAUUAAAAACAGGCAUUUUACAUUCAGAACAAGUCAUCUUGACUGCUCUGAUGGUGAAGUGUGCAUGAAGAGGGUUUUGCAUAGUGUUCAGUGCAUUUACAACUUUUAUCUGGUAAUAUGCAUUUUAUGACAUUGGGUUUUAU